RNAcentral lists this ribosomal RNA (497 nucleotides) under uncultured bacterium. RNAcentral describes it as "partial 16S ribosomal RNA". It matches the Rfam family "Bacterial small subunit ribosomal RNA", at positions 28 to 507 of the family's 1533-position model. The record is from RNAcentral.
GAUGAACGCUGGCGGCGUGCCUAAUACAUGCAAGUCGAGCGAACAGACGAGGAGCUUGCUCCUCUGACGUUAGCGGCGGACGGGUGAGUAACACGUGGAUAACCUACCUAUAAGACUGGGAUAACUUCGGGAAACCGGAGCUAAUACCGGAUAAUAUAUUGAACCGCAUGGUUCAAUAGUGAAAGACGGUUUUGCUGUCACUUAUAGAUGGAUCCGCGCCGCAUUAGCUAGUUGGUAAGGUAACGGCUUACCAAGGCAACGAUGCGUAGCCGACCUGAGAGGGUGAUCGGCCACACUGGAACUGAGACACGGUCCAGACCCCUACGGGAGGCAGCAGUAGGGAAUCUUCCGCAAUGGGCGAAAGCCUGACGGAGCAACGCCGCGUGAGUGAUGAAGGUCUACGGAUCGUAAAACUCUGUUAUUAGGGAAGAACAAAUGUGUAAGUAACUAUGCACGUCUUGACGGUACCUAAUCAGAAAGCCACGGCUAACUACGUG